CCUACGGGGGGCAGCAGUGGGGAAUAUUGGACAAUGGGCGCAAGCCUGAUCCAGCCAUGCCGCGUGUGUGAAGAAGGUCUUCGGAUUGUAAAGCACUUUAAGUUGGGAGGAAGGUUAGUAACUUAAUACGUUGCUGAUUUGACGUUACCGACAGAAUAAGCACCGGCUAACUCUGUGCCAGCAGCCGCGGUAAUACAGAGGGUGCAAGCGUUAAUCGGAAUUACUGGGCGUAAAGCGCGCGUAGGUGGUUAUGUAAGUUGGAUGUGAAAUCCCCGGGCUCAACCUGGGAACUGCAUCCAAAACUGCAUGGCUAGAGUACGGUAGAGGGUGGUGGAAUUUCCUGUGUAGCGGUGAAAUGCGUAGAUAUAGGAAGGAACACCAGUGGCGAAGGCGACCACCUGGACUGAUACUGACACUGAGGUGCGAAAGCGUGGGGAGCAAACAGGAUUAGAUACCCGGGUAGUC
RNAcentral lists this ribosomal RNA (465 nucleotides) under uncultured bacterium. Its description in RNAcentral is "bacterial SSU rRNA". It matches the Rfam family "Bacterial small subunit ribosomal RNA", at positions 338 to 795 of the family's 1533-position model. The record is from RNAcentral.